GCUCAGGGCGAACGCUGGCGGCGUGCCUAAUACAUGCAAGUUGAGCGCUGAAGGUUGGUACUUGUACCAACUGGAUGAGCAGCGAACGGGUGAGUAACGCGUGGGGAAUCUGCCUUUGAGCGGGGGACAACAUUUGGAAACGAAUGCUAAUACCGCAUAAAAACUUUAAACACAAGUUUUAAGUUUGAAAGAUGCAAUUGCAUCACUCAAAGAUGAUCCCGCGUUGUAUUAGCUAGUUGGUGAGGUAAAGGCUCACCAAGGCGAUGAUACAUAGCCGA
Molecule: ribosomal RNA, 278 nt
Filed under: Lactococcus lactis subsp. lactis bv. diacetylactis
Lineage: Bacteria; Bacillati; Bacillota; Bacilli; Lactobacillales; Streptococcaceae
Description: partial 16S ribosomal RNA
Rfam family: Bacterial small subunit ribosomal RNA
Source: RNAcentral